RNAcentral lists this ribosomal RNA (480 nucleotides) under uncultured bacterium. RNAcentral describes it as "partial 16S ribosomal RNA". It matches the Rfam family "Bacterial small subunit ribosomal RNA", at positions 28 to 523 of the family's 1533-position model. The record is from RNAcentral.
GACGAGUGCUGGCUGCGUGCUUAACACAUGCAAGUCGAACGGUGAAGGGGAGCUUGCUCCCCGGAUCAGUGGCGAACGGGUGAGUAACACGUGGGCAACCUGCCCCUCACUCUGGGAUAACUCCGGGAAACCGGGGCUAAUACCGGAUACGACCGGGAGCGACAUCGCUCCUGGUGGAAAGAACUUCGGUGAGGGAUGGGCCCGCGGCCGAUCAGCUAGUUGGUGGGGUAACGGCCCACAAGGCGACGACGGGUAGCCGGCCUGAGAGGGCGACCGGCCACACUGGGACUGAGACACGGCCCAGACUCCUACGGGAGGCAGCAGUGGGGAAUAUUGCGCAAUGGGCGAAAGCCUGACGCAGCGACGCAGCGUGAGGGACGAAGGCCUUCGGGUUGUAAACCUCUUUCAGCGGGGACGAAGCGAAAGUGACGGUACCCGCAGAAGAAGCACCGGCUAACUACGUGCCAGCCGCCGCAGUAA